GUGUGCUUGGGCGAGGAGGAAGCCUCUUGGUGCAGGAAGGCCUUGCUUUCCCUUGUCUUUAGAUCACAGAAGGCCAUUCUCGCUUUGAGAUCUGGUAAAAGGGCAAAGCAGCAACCUCCAGAUACAAUGUGCAGCACAAUUCGCCAGAACAAUAACUAGGAGUUGCUAAGAAGAGAAUGAGUUGGAAACUCCAUGCCUCAGGUUGGUGCCAUCCAUAAAGCCAAGAUAAUACAUAAACAGCUAAACAGCUAGUGGGACAACUAGGACAGAAAUGGCAGAAAACGUGACAGCCAAGAGAAGAAGCAAGAAUGGAGAGAACCCUGGAUAAUGGCACCGAGAUACCAUCGUGAAUG
This 353-nucleotide long non-coding RNA is filed under the name Phascolarctos cinereus (koala). Its description in RNAcentral is "lncRNA (ENSPCIG00000035843.1)". Lineage: Eukaryota; Metazoa; Chordata; Mammalia; Diprotodontia; Phascolarctidae. The record is from RNAcentral.